GAUGAACGCUGGCGGCGUGCCUAAUACAUGCAAGUCGAGCGAACGGACGAGAAGCUUGCUUCUCUGAUGUUAGCGGCGGACGGGUGAGUAACACGUGGAUAACCUACCUAUAAGACUGGGAUAACUUCGGGAAACCGGAGCUAAUACCGGAUAAUAUUUUGAACCGCAUGGUUCAAAAGUGAAAGACGGUCUUGCUGUCACUUAUAGAUGGAUCCGCGCUGCAUUAGCUAGUUGGUAAGGUAACGGCUUACCAAGGCAACGAUGCAUAGCCGACCUGAGAGGGUGAUCGGCCACACUGGAACUGAGACACGGUCCAGACUACUACGGGAGGCAGCAGUAGGGAAUCUUCCGCAAUGGGCGAAAGCCUGACGGAGCAACGCCGCGUGAGUGAUGAAGGUCUUCGGAUCGUAAAACUCUGUUAUUAGGGAAGAACAUAUGUGUAAGUAACUGUGCACAUCUUGACGGUACCUAAUCAGAAAGCCACGGCUAACUACGUG
RNAcentral lists this ribosomal RNA (497 nucleotides) under uncultured bacterium. RNAcentral describes it as "partial 16S ribosomal RNA". It matches the Rfam family "Bacterial small subunit ribosomal RNA", at positions 28 to 507 of the family's 1533-position model. The record is from RNAcentral.